Molecule: transfer RNA, 67 nt
Filed under: Microtus richardsoni (water vole)
Lineage: Eukaryota; Metazoa; Chordata; Mammalia; Rodentia; Cricetidae
Description: tRNA-Phe
Rfam family: tRNA
About the family: Transfer RNA (tRNA) molecules are approximately 80 nucleotides in length. Their secondary structure includes four short double-helical elements and three loops (D, anti-codon, and T loops).
Source: RNAcentral
GUUAAUGUAGCUUAAUAAAAAGCAAAGCACUGAAAAUGCUUAGAUGGAUGCAAGCAUCCCAUAAACA